GAUGAACGCUGGCGGCGUGCCUAAUACAUGCAAGUCGAGCGAACGGACGAGAAGCUUGCUUUUCUGAUGUUAGCGGCGGACGGGUGAGUAACACGUGGAUAACCUACCUAUAAGACUGGGAUAACUUCGGGAAGCCGGAGCUAAUACCGGAUAAUAUUUUGAACCGCAUGGUUCAAAAGUGAAAGACGGUCUUGCUGUCACUUAUAGAUGGAUCCGCGCUGCAUUAGCUAGUUGGUAAGGUAACGGCUUACCAAGGCAACGAUGCAUAGCCGACCUGAGAGGGUGAUUGGCCACACUGGAACUGAGACACGGUCCAGACUCCUACGGGAGGCAGCAGUAGGGAAUCUUCCGCAAUGGGCGAAAGCCUGACGGAGCAACGCCGCGUGAGUGAUGAAGGUCUUCGGAUCGUAAAACUCUGUUAUUAGGGAAGAACAUAUGUGUAAGUAACUGUGCACAUCUUGACGGUACCUAAUCAGAAAGCCACGGCUAACUACGUG
Molecule: ribosomal RNA, 497 nt
Filed under: uncultured bacterium
Lineage: Bacteria
Description: partial 16S ribosomal RNA
Rfam family: Bacterial small subunit ribosomal RNA
Source: RNAcentral